Molecule: ribosomal RNA, 446 nt
Filed under: Bacillus proteolyticus
Lineage: Bacteria; Bacillati; Bacillota; Bacilli; Caryophanales; Bacillaceae
Description: bacterial SSU rRNA
Rfam family: Bacterial small subunit ribosomal RNA
Source: RNAcentral
AGCUUGCUCUUAUGAAGUUAGCGGCGGACGGGUGAGUAACACGUGGGUAACCUGCCCAUAAGACUGGGAUAACUCCGGGAAACCGGGGCUAAUACCGGAUAACAUUUUGAACUGCAUGGUUCGAAAUUGAAAGGCGGCUUCGGCUGUCACUUAUGGAUGGACCCGCGUCGCAUUAGCUAGUUGGUGAGGUAACGGCUCACCAAGGCAACGAUGCGUAGCCGACCUGAGAGGGUGAUCGGCCACACUGGGACUGAGACACGGCCCAGACUCCUACGGGAGGCAGCAGUAGGGAAUCUUCCGCAAUGGACGAAAGUCUGACGGAGCAACGCCGCGUGAGUGAUGAAGGCUUUCGGAUCGUAAAACUCUGUUGUUAGGGAAGAACAAGUGCUAGUUGAAUAAGCUGGCACCUUGACGGUACCUAACCAGAAAGCCACGGCUAACUACGU